This is a long non-coding RNA of Gorilla gorilla gorilla (western lowland gorilla), 357 nucleotides long. RefSeq lists it as uncharacterized. Lineage: Eukaryota; Metazoa; Chordata; Mammalia; Primates; Hominidae. The transcript is spliced from 3 exons. The record is from RefSeq and is a predicted model, not a curated record.
GACAGUGGACCCACGAUCAUGGAAUUCACUGUUCAAACCAUGUCCCCAUAUCCUGAAGCAGCUGGCUUGACAGAAAAGAAAAGUGGUAUUUGAAGUCUCAGAAGCAGGUAAUUUAUAAUGCUGGUAAACACCGCCCUAAAAAAAUGAUCUUAGAGAGAGAGAGCACCAACAAUAUCAAAGAGAUCUUAAAAACAGAAUGUUUAAGAGUCACAUGCAACACACAAGCAAUUUAUUGUCAAGAUUUCUUUCAAAAAGAGAAGAAAGGAAAGGCAUUUUUAGCAAAACUGUCUUUAAAAUUUUCCAAACUUAAAACACUUGUACAGAAGUUGCUCCAUAUCAUGAAAAUGGGAGUUCAUA